CUGGAAGUAGGGGAUUCUGAAGGGGCGCAUCCUGAUGACCUCAUCAACAUUUUAAAAGGUCAAAUAAAAGAUGGCCAUAAGUUUAAUCCUAGGAGCCCCUGUUCAGACACAGAGCCAGACUUCAUCAGCAACCCCAGUCUGAGGGAUGGAACUCAUUGGCUUCUAAGUGUCAUUCCAGCAGACCAGUGUGCAGCAGGAUGGUUCCUUUGAGAAGAUGAGGCCCAUCAGAAAACAGGCCAGUGAGAUGGGAAUCCUUCAGCUUACAAUGCUACCAAAAGUGGAUCAGGCCCAGAGGUCAAGAAGGACAUCAGAGUGAUCUACAGGAGCAAGAAGAUCAAGAAGAAUAUGCAGGAGUGCAGUAACAGACUGGGAGUUCCCUUUAAUGA
Molecule: long non-coding RNA, 386 nt
Organism: Alosa sapidissima (American shad)
Lineage: Eukaryota; Metazoa; Chordata; Actinopteri; Clupeiformes; Clupeidae
Exons: 4
Source: RefSeq, a predicted model, not a curated record